GAGUGUUAGAGCUCUUUUAAAAUUUGUCUAGCUGGUUUUCUCUGGAAGACACCCCC
RNAcentral lists this small nuclear RNA (56 nucleotides) under Echinops telfairi (small Madagascar hedgehog). RNAcentral describes it as "U7 small nuclear RNA (ENSETEG00000025740.1)". It matches the Rfam family "U7 small nuclear RNA". Rfam says of the family: Animal histone pre-mRNAs are spliced by a different mechanism than nuclear pre-mRNAs and self-splicing introns. This processing involves the U7 snRNP, which contains only one RNA species: U7. The 5' end of U7 RNA is thought to base-pair to a conserved spacer element downstream of the cleavage site in histone pre-mRNA. Lineage: Eukaryota; Metazoa; Chordata; Mammalia; Afrosoricida; Tenrecidae. The record is from RNAcentral.